Edhazardia aedis is the source of this 72-nucleotide transfer RNA. It matches the Rfam family "tRNA". From Rfam's summary of the family: Transfer RNA (tRNA) molecules are approximately 80 nucleotides in length. The record is from Rfam. Lineage: Eukaryota; Fungi; Microsporidia; Culicosporidae.
GCCGUGAUCGUCUAGUGGUUAGGACUCUGCGUUGUGGCCGCAAAAAGCCAGGUUCGAAUCCUGGUCACGGCA